GUGCUCACAUAUAUUGGCACAUAUAUACUAAAUUGGCAGCACAUAUACUAAAAUUGGAAGGAUACAAAGAAGAUUAGCAUGUCCCUGCCCAAGGAUGACAUGCAAAUUCAUAAUCAUUCCAUACAUUU
RNAcentral lists this small nuclear RNA (128 nucleotides) under Mus pahari (shrew mouse). Lineage: Eukaryota; Metazoa; Chordata; Mammalia; Rodentia; Muridae. The record is from RNAcentral.